Solea senegalensis (Senegalese sole) is the source of this 1853-nucleotide long non-coding RNA. RefSeq lists it as uncharacterized. The record is from RefSeq and is a predicted model, not a curated record. NCBI's taxonomy places the organism in Eukaryota, Metazoa, Chordata, Actinopteri, Pleuronectiformes, Soleidae. The transcript has 4 exons.
CCUGUCGAGGCGGGAAGUGAGAUAGGAGUAUCUUUUGAAGGUGUGGGGCACCAGUCGGGCAGUUUCUGUGGCCUUUCAGUCACUUUCAUUUGAAGUUGGAGGAGACUUGUCCUGCUGGAGUCUGUACAAAGGACGCUGCUGCAGAACAAAUGAAACCCUGGGCUCCUGCAGCAUAUACCAGUUUUAAUUUAACAGCCCGCACCGAGACAUUGUCCAGUGUGGUCCAGGCACUGUGGGCUUUUUGGUGUGUACUGUGACUUUGUAGUGAAGCUGACCCGUCAGAACAGCAGCCUCUGUGUUACAAAACCCCCAGCUUUACAAAUGAACCACUUAGCAACAGUAACUAGGGGCUGCAUGGGGUUUAGUGAAUGGGGUCAGUUUUUUGAACCUCGAGUCAUUUUUUUCUUAUGUAAUCUUACUGACAAUAGCAGGAAAAGUCUCUCUUGCUAUCAUUUUUUUGCAAGAGAAACUUCUUGAGAUCCAACUUGUAAGCUAUGGAGCCAUCUUUUAUACUGGAUAAUGAGACUCACCACCACAAACCCUGAAAGCCAUUUUACAUCCAUAUCCACAAAGUGCCAUUUGUUAAAUGGGCCCAGCUUUAUUCCACGGAGUAGAUCAUAAGCGUUAUAGCAUGAUGCCUCGGGGUCCUACGACUUUAAAUGAGACAAUUUUCAACAUUAGCUGCAAUUCAUAACUUGUAAUAAACCCAAUGCUCAAUCCUCAGUAAGUGCCUCCUCUUUAGAUUUGAUUGGUUUGAGGAUUUAAAGAUUUAAACACAGGAAGGUUCGUGAGGAUCAUGCUUUAGAUUAGCGGCCCAGGACUCUAUUAGACCUUUUAUUUUCUCUCUGCACACACACAUACAGAGAAAAUGUAAACCUUCUACUGAGUAAAGCCUCAGGCUAAUCAAUGACGUUAAUUGACCAAUUAAAAAGAGACAAAGAGCAAAAGGAGGAAGCCACAAAAACAGAUGUCAUCUGAAUACAGGCAAUAUAUCGUGCGCUCCCUUAUUUGAAAUUGUAACAGGUCUGAUUUCAAACUCUGUCUUGAAAUCAAUGUCAAACACUUAACACAGUCGUUUUAGGUAUUCCAGUCAAGGGCGUAGGUUUGCGGACAUGUCCUCACCAAUAUUUGGAGAACGCCAGAUUGUCCCGACCAAUAUUAGAGACGGGACAAUGUGUGCGAACGCUGUGAGGAGAGCGAGCGAGCGGAUUUUACGAGCAUCAGUGAACGCAUUACAGCCGAGCAGAAAUAUCGCCGCGAGUCACGGAGGAGAGAGUGAGAGAGAGCGGAGGUGAUGUGCUGAUCUGACAACACAGUGCUUGGUACCUUCUGGCUGAUGAGGUUGACCCACGGGGAUGUGCAGUUGCUGAAGUCAGGUCCCUGGGGGUCCCAGUAUCCCUCUGGGCCCAGGCACAUGUAUGAGGCCACGCCUGGAGAGAGACGACAGUUAGUUACUGAGCAAAAAAUGUAUAAAAAACUCUAAGUGAACUAAAGUUGCAGUCCUAUGUGUUUUAUAGCAUGUGUGUCAAUGUGCGUGAACUCAAAUUCAUUCAUCACAUUUUCAUCCUCUCGUCAUCCUCCAUCAUCCUCCAUCAUCAGGUGAUAGACUACGCAACGCUGUCAACCUUGUCAACUAACGACGACUUUUACUGUGGACAGAGCAUCUUGGCCACUACACCCUGCUUGGUCUUCGGCCAAGAGAUGUCCAUCAUCACCAGUGGAUUGCAGUACUCCACCCUGAUGUUGGGAAGCUUGGAGGAGGGCGGCGCUCUGUCUUCGUCUUCGGGGACCAAACCCUCUACGAGCGUCUGGACUGGGGCCACCACUGUCGUCGUCGUCCUCGGCCACUGAGC